RNAcentral lists this unclassified non-coding RNA (433 nucleotides) under soil metagenome. RNAcentral's name for it is "partial contains 5.8S ribosomal RNA, internal transcribed spacer 2, and large subunit ribosomal RNA". The stretch from base 1 to 120 matches the Rfam family "5.8S ribosomal RNA", at positions 35 to 154 of the family's 154-position model. The record is from RNAcentral.
GAUGAAGAACGCAGCGAAAUGCGAUACGUAAUGUGAAUUGCAGAAUUCAGUGAAUCAUCGAAUCUUUGAACGCAUAUUGCGCUCUCUGGUAUUCCGGAGAGCAUGCUUGUUUGAGUAUCAGUAAACACCUCAACUUCCAUAUCUUUUUUGAAAUGGGAGUUGGACUUGAGUGAUCCCAACGCUUUUCCUCACCGAAAAGUGGCGGGUUACUUGAAAUGCAGGUGCAGCUGGACUUUUCUCUGAGCUAUAAGCAUAUCUAUUUAGUCUGCCUAAAAAACAGAUUAUUACCUUUGCUGCAGCUAACAUAAAGGAGAUUAGUUCUUGUGCUGACUGAUGCAGGAUUCACAAAGACAGGCUUCGGCCGACUUUGUAAACUCGAUCUCAAAUCAAGUAAGACUACCCGCUGAACCUAAGCAUAUCAAUAAGCGGAGGA